Molecule: ribosomal RNA, 732 nt
Filed under: Pseudomonas sp. 120221_PC_C1_D1
Lineage: Bacteria; Pseudomonadati; Pseudomonadota; Gammaproteobacteria; Pseudomonadales; Pseudomonadaceae
Description: bacterial SSU rRNA
Rfam family: Bacterial small subunit ribosomal RNA
Source: RNAcentral
AUGGCUCAGAUUGAACGCUGGCGGCAGGCCUAACACAUGCAAGUCGAGCGGCAGCACGGGUACUUGUACCUGGUGGCGAGCGGCGGACGGGUGAGUAAUGCCUAGGAAUCUGCCUGGUAGUGGGGGAUAACGUUCGGAAACGAACGCUAAUACCGCAUACGUCCUACGGGAGAAAGCAGGGGACCUUCGGGCCUUGCGCUAUCAGAUGAGCCUAGGUCGGAUUAGCUAGUUGGUGAGGUAAUGGCUCACCAAGGCGACGAUCCGUAACUGGUCUGAGAGGAUGAUCAGUCACACUGGAACUGAGACACGGUCCAGACUCCUACGGGAGGCAGCAGUGGGGAAUAUUGGACAAUGGGCGAAAGCCUGAUCCAGCCAUGCCGCGUGUGUGAAGAAGGUCUUCGGAUUGUAAAGCACUUUAAGUUGGGAGGAAGGGCAGUUACCUAAUACGUAAUUGUUUUGACGUUACCGACAGAAUAAGCACCGGCUAACUCUGUGCCAGCAGCCGCGGUAAUACAGAGGGUGCAAGCGUUAAUCGGAAUUACUGGGCGUAAAGCGCGCGUAGGUGGUUCGUUAAGUUGGAUGUGAAAUCCCCGGGCUCAACCUGGGAACUGCAUUCAAAACUGUCGAGCUAGAGUAUGGUAGAGGGUGGUGGAAUUUCCUGUGUAGCGGUGAAAUGCGUAGAUAUAGGAAGGAACACCAGUGGCGAAGGCGACCACCUGGACUGAUACUGAC